RNAcentral lists this long non-coding RNA (233 nucleotides) under Homo sapiens (human). RNAcentral describes it as "non-protein coding lnc-PSD2-2:1". The record is from RNAcentral. Lineage: Eukaryota; Metazoa; Chordata; Mammalia; Primates; Hominidae.
GCUGACUGGAAGGGGCCUUCUUAAUGGAUUCUCCUCCAGCUCACAUUCCAUGCUCCAGGUUGUGGGAACAACAGCUUGAAUUACGGAAAGAAGUUUCCCCACUGAGUUAAUCUGCAGUGGCUGGAGGUGACCUUCUGGAGACGGCGAUUAAUCACGGGCCGUGGCGGGCGCCGCGCCACGCCGGGCCCUUUGGGGGAAUACUAAUUCCACUACAAGAUAAAUCAUAAUUUGAC